UACGGAGGGAGCUAGCGUUGUUCGGAAUCACUGGGCGUAAAGCGCACGUAGGCGGCUUCUUAAGUCAGGGGUGAAAUCCUGGAGCUCAACUCCAGAACUGCCUUUGAUACUGAGGAGCUUGAGUCCGGGAGAGGUGAGUGGAACUGCGAGUGUAGAGGUGAAAUUCGUAGAUAUUCGCAAGAACACCAGUGGCGAAGGCGGCUCACUGGCCCGGUACUGACGCUGAGGUGCGAAAGCGUGGGGAGCAAACAGG
This 253-nucleotide ribosomal RNA is filed under the name uncultured bacterium. RNAcentral's name for it is "partial 16S ribosomal RNA". It matches the Rfam family "Bacterial small subunit ribosomal RNA", at positions 524 to 776 of the family's 1533-position model. The record is from RNAcentral.